This 320-nucleotide long non-coding RNA is filed under the name Homo sapiens (human). RNAcentral's name for it is "HSALNT0019865". Lineage: Eukaryota; Metazoa; Chordata; Mammalia; Primates; Hominidae. The record is from RNAcentral.
UAGGUGGAAGGGAAGAGCAUCAGGUGGUGAAGCUGAACCAGGAGAGUCUAAAAACCACGUGGCCUCUCAGGCACCCUUGAGUCUAGAGGGAGUUCCCUGAUCUUACAUUUGAGAGUGAUUCUAGGGGCCAACACCUUGAGGCCAGAGGCAACAGAAAGAGGAUUGAGUGAAGCAGGAAGCCUGCAAAGCCCUGGAUUCCAAUCCAGCUCUAGCUGCGAGGCGCUGGGCACGGGUCACUGCUCUGCGGCUCUGCUUGCUUGUCUGCAAGGGUUCUGCAAUAGCCAAGCAACAAAUGGAAGCUGUCAGAAAGUAUUUGUAGG